Long non-coding RNA from Varroa destructor (honeybee mite), 2765 nucleotides. RefSeq lists it as uncharacterized. Lineage: Eukaryota; Metazoa; Arthropoda; Arachnida; Mesostigmata; Varroidae. The record is from RefSeq and is a predicted model, not a curated record.
GCGUCUAUUGACACAGCAGAACUAAUACCUUCAAUGUAUUAAUGGAAAAUUUUAGUAAAAACUAUGCUAUACCCUACGUUUAUUGGAUGUUUCGAUAGGAUUCAAUGUAUUGAAUUAACGACACCAAAUGUCUCCAAGCGGAGUCACUCUGAACAAUCGUCUUUCGCUCGCGCCUCGUACCACGCCGUAACAGAACGCUAAAAUUUUGUGCAAUAUUUACAACUCAAUAGCUUCUAAGUUGUGUUUUAGAAAACUUACUUCUUCAGCCAUCCCGUAAAUUGGCGACAAAUAACACUGUGCUAUUAAUACAGGGCUUUAAUGACAUUUCAAAAAUGAGGGGUCGCCUUUCUAGCCGCGGCGUGGCCUUCUCAAAUUAAACCGAAAUCGAUCUGAAGUGCAAACGAAUACGAAGUCGACGCAUCCGAAAAGAAUCGCCUUUACAAAGUUAUUGCUUUUCAGGCCGUUAAACCUAAUUACCGUUUCAUGGCAGACUUGAUUAAUCCUACCCUAACACUUCAAGAAACGUCGUUGUACUUCUGCUUGUUUUCGCCGGCCGUCUCCGACUUCUGCACAACGCUCUUCUACAACAACCGCGUAGAACUGAUCAAUAUGCGUGCCUAACCAUACAUCAGGGUGUUUUUACUUUGCCUUUUCCUCUCGCUAUUUAUGAUGGUAUUUCUUGUAACAAGCACAUUUAUUAUCGUUAACCUAACCAUCGAAUGUUGUCAAGCCGUGUGGAAACCUUCACAGAUUCAGGGUGAUCUCCAAAAUAAAAAAAAUGGUCGGCGCUGGUAUGGAUGGUCUGUAUUUCGUUGUUGGGUAGUUAUUAUUUAGGUUGCAGGUUGAAACAGUGAGGUCGUUUGAACGGGAACAAGAUGAUGAUAUCUGGUAUUUUCAGCGAUCUCAAAAACGUCGAAGGCAAAACGUACGUCAUAGUAAGUAACGUCCUGGAGUGGUUUGGUUAUUGUCGUCGUGUUGCUAGGUGUUGCUAUUGUCAUAGUAUUGGUGAUACAGCAACAAUCUCAACAGCUCAAUCAAACCGUCUAAAGGGCCUCAAAACGGUGACAAAAACAUAAAUCCGGUCUGGAUGCAUUUACAGUGUUUUUCGUCGUGGGCAUGACCUUUACCGUGGUCAGGAACUGAUGUUAUGUAGUAAUUCUUGGUAGGCGGCUAGCUUUGAGGAUCUUUGGUGCGAUAUCAGUACGUGCAACUUCUACGCGCUUUUGCUCGCAACUGAUUCGCCAGCAAGCGUUCAAGCUCCGUCAAAAAAGCUGCCUGAGUGAAAACAACUUCGACAUUGUCAUGCAUAAUAUCACCGAUCACAGUGGACCCUCAAGGGCGGCUACGCUUUCAAUGUAUCUAGCCAAUGGGUCCAGAUUCAGCACUUACAGAAGUCGUUUGAAGCGUUUAAAAAUUGAUUCUUUCAUCAAAAAGCGAAGAAGGAACGAGACAUCGUACGUCGUCUUUCGAUCUCUGUCUAACCUGAUUGAACCUAUCUACAUCUGGAAAAGCUGUUUCAGUCCGCACCUGGCCAAGGACCAUGGACAACAUAUCACUUCAACAAGACAAAAGCCGACUUUCCAUCGAUGCCCUUUGACAAUUGCAAGCUCACUUACUUAUUAACCCAAUAGCAAGCAAGAAAUGAUUUAUGUUAUACAUACCCCAUCGUAUACAUCAUAAAUACGAAGGAGACCAUCUCAAUGAAUCGGCAUCAUUCUCUCGUGUCAGAGUAACAACACGCUACGCCCUGGCUCGAUUGAGCAUCAACACUCAAUUUCCUUAUGAUUUGUGCCGGCAUAUACAGAUAUAUAGUUAUUUCAAUUUUGCACACCAGGUGGCGCUCGUCUGUCUGCUGGCCAGACAACGAGAUCGGCCAUGAGACAGGAGUAACCGAUGCACUCGGAUACGUACAGCCUUGGAGGCGGUGAAAACUGUGAUAACUGAAUGAAAAUAAAUCCGAGAACAGUAGAGAGGUUGUCCGAUAAUGUCAAAGAAGCAACGAAAGGCAAAUACGUUGAGAUCGAUUAGAGAGAAGUAACACGCGACCUUAUUAUUUAUUAUUAUAUAACUUAUUAUAAUAAGACCAACCAGCGUUUCUAUACUGUAAAUUAGAUGUGGGCAUAUUAUGUUGGAUGAACUUGGGCCGUUUGUACUAUUUAGUUUCGAUAUGUCUACGAGUGGUAGCGUUGAGGUAAACUGGCAACAUUGUUUUGCGCUUUAACAGACCUUCGUAUAUAUACAUUUAUGCCUAUAUAUGAAAGCAUGUCUGUUGUUAAGCAUCAGUCGACCGUGCUAUUAUUAUGGCUCAAAAAACGACAAGUAAAAAGGGCAUAUAGCCACAUAAUAAUACUUGAAGCGUGUUGGUUAACUAGGGAUAUUUUUUUCUGUACACGAUUAUAAAGUUAUGGUCAGGCACUUAGAAUAUUCAUAGAGCUAUAACGCUAAGCUUGCAAUAGCAUUCUCAAGGGGGUGCCAGAAUGUAGCUAAACGGCAGAUUUCUUGUUCAAGUUUAGCUAAGUCGUAAAAAAACGCAAAAAAAUGGUUGGUGGUAUUUGCCCCAAGACGUAUAGACAUGCUAUCCGGUGGUUAAGAAAAAAACAAAGUCUUAGCACAUUGUUACAAACCGAGAAGCGCAUCCUUUCCUGAAAGUAUAUUGUAAUUCUGGUCCUAAACGAAGCUUUUUACCUCAUUGGUGGAUUGCGGAGGUCUAUGGACCACUUGUAUCAGUUCAACAUACCCUUUGGAUGAUUGCCUCAGUUAAAUAU